RNAcentral lists this long non-coding RNA (683 nucleotides) under Panax ginseng (ginseng). Its description in RNAcentral is "long non-coding RNA (PGIN_LNC007932)". Lineage: Eukaryota; Viridiplantae; Streptophyta; Magnoliopsida; Apiales; Araliaceae. The record is from RNAcentral.
CAUGAAUCACCCUUAUAAUUAGACAUAAGUCAUUUGAACAAUAAUAUCCUAUAUAACUUAUAAGCCAAUCCCUUGCGUACUGCACGUAUAGAAUGCAAGUUACUGCAUUCUAGUUCUCAUUCCAUGCAUUGAAACAAUCCAUAUUCUAGGUGGCAUACAUGAUAGAUCGACAUAAAAAGUUGAAGAAGAAAAACAAACGGAAUAAGGAUUAGCUUUUCAAAGUAGUCGGAUGGCAUGUUGGCUUAAGGUCGUUAAACCACAUAAAAAUGAAAGGAAAAAAAUGGAAAAAAAGUGUAAAUGUGCAAAACACAAUGAAAUUCCAAGUGGCAACCAUUCUGCCCUGUUAGCUCAACAAAAUUAAAAUGGAAAUGCAUUAGAAAAUGCGACUCCCACCAAAUAAUCAUAUACACAUUAUUUGACAUAUGGUCAAGCUCCUCAACUUGCGUCUUCCUUUUUAUAUAAUCAUCCCUGAACGAUUAUUUUACAUGGAUGAAUAUCUUUCACACUCUAAGAAACUCAUUUCUCUUGGUAAAAAUGAUACUUCAUAGUACUCGAGUGAUGUAGGAGAAAGAAUGAAUAAAAGUACCUAUCCCCACAUUAACAAGCCAUAAAAGCACAAAGCUUUUCUUAAAUCAAUUCAUAUUCAAUACUUUGAAUAAUAAUGAGGAUUACAACUAUACAGG